GACGUAGGGCGCGAGCGUUGUCCGGAUUUAUUGGGCGUAAAGAGCUCGUAGGCGGCUCGUUGCGUCGGCUGUGGAAAACCCGACGGCUCAACCUCGGGCCUGCAGUGGGUACGGGCAGGCUAGAGUUCGGCAGGGGGAGACUGGAAUUCCUGGUGUAGCGGUGAAAUGCGCAGAUAUCAAGAGGAACACCGGUGGCGAAGGCGGGUCUCUGGGCCGAUACUGACGCUGAGGAGCGAAAGCGUGGGGAGCGAACAGG
This 256-nucleotide ribosomal RNA is filed under the name uncultured bacterium. RNAcentral describes it as "partial 16S ribosomal RNA". It matches the Rfam family "Bacterial small subunit ribosomal RNA", at positions 524 to 776 of the family's 1533-position model. The record is from RNAcentral.